AGUGAACGCUGGCGGUAGGCCUAACACAUGCAAGUCGAACGGCAGCACGGUAAGAGCUUGCUCUUACGGGUGGCGAGUGGCGGACGGGUGAGGAAUACAUCGGAAUCUACUUUUUCGUGGGGGAUAACGUAGGGAAACUUACGCUAAUACCGCAUACGACCUACGGGUGAAAGCAGGGGAUCUUCGGACCUUGCGCGAUUGAAUGAACCGAUGUCGGAUUAGCUAGUUGGCGGGGUAAAGGCCCACCAAGGCGACGAUCCGUAGCUGGUCUGAGAGGAUGAUCAGCCACACUGGAACUGAGACACGGUCCAGACUCCUACGGGAGGCAGCAGUGGGGAAUAUUGGACAAUGGGCGCAAGCCUGAUCCAGCCAUACCGCGUGGGUGAAGAAGGCCUUCGGGUUGUAAAGCCCUUUUGUUGGGAAAGAAAAGCAGCAGGUUAAUACCCCGCUGUUCUGACGGUACCCAAAGAAUAAGCACCGGCUAACUUCGUG
This 492-nucleotide ribosomal RNA is filed under the name uncultured bacterium. Its description in RNAcentral is "partial 16S ribosomal RNA". It matches the Rfam family "Bacterial small subunit ribosomal RNA", at positions 29 to 507 of the family's 1533-position model. The record is from RNAcentral.